UGAAAUGUCAUGAUGAGGACAUGAGUAGUUUUCUACGAUUUUCAGAGAGGGAAGCCUUAGGGUGUGAGCUUCCUAGUACGGGAUUAUUACUUACCACCUCUAAACUUUAGCAGUGAACGAUUUUUUUAGUAAUUGCUAACGGACAACACCGUUAUGUUGAACUUGAGCAAUUAACAAUCAUGUUAAUUGGAACAAGGGUGGAACCACGAAUUCAACACUCGUCCCUUUU
Non-coding RNA from Bacillus cereus Rock4-18, 229 nucleotides. The record is from Rfam. Lineage: Bacteria; Bacillati; Bacillota; Bacilli; Caryophanales; Bacillaceae.